CAUAAAUGGUUUCUGCAUUUUCGAUUGCUUUCA
This 33-nucleotide non-coding RNA is filed under the name Geobacter sulfurreducens KN400. The record is from RNAcentral. Lineage: Bacteria; Pseudomonadati; Thermodesulfobacteriota; Desulfuromonadia; Geobacterales; Geobacteraceae.